Leopardus geoffroyi (Geoffroy's cat) is the source of this 315-nucleotide long non-coding RNA. RefSeq lists it as uncharacterized. The record is from RefSeq and is a predicted model, not a curated record. The transcript is spliced from 3 exons. Lineage: Eukaryota; Metazoa; Chordata; Mammalia; Carnivora; Felidae.
GGCCUGGCUCCUGUCUAAAGGGGGCGCCCGGGCACGGCGACCGGGAACCUGGGCCCACAUCGCUUUAACUCUCCUUGCCGAGAAGGGGCCGGUACGGUUGCAGACGUCGAUUUAUGUAGAACUCGGUGGCAUUUUUCUUGGUUGCAUCACCCUGUAUCACUGCGCGGGGGCCAAAUAUGGUAAAAUAGUCAUAAUCUCGAGGUUUGUGAGUUCGAGGCCAGCAUUGGGCCCUGCAUGCAGCACGGAGCCUGCCUGGGAUUCUCUCGCCGCCCUUCCCCCGCCACUGGCAGUGUCUCUGUCUCUCUCAAAAUAAAU